GAAAAAUAAUAAUGUUUAAGCUAAAAUUGGGUUUAAGCUCGCAUUAAGAACAAACUAAUCAAACAUCAGAUUCAUGAUGCCCACUGCACAGCUUGACUAUGGCCUCACCAAUUAAACAAGAAUGUUGCAGAAAACAACUGUACAAUUUGAAAAAAAAUUCCAAUACCUAAAAUAUUGAAUGCUCAUUUCCUGUCGUUCUUGCUCAUUUUCUUCUUUUGCUUCUUGUAUUCGUCAUAUAAUUGUAGGGCUAACGUAGUACGCUCUAAUUCGCUCCUUAGUCUCCCAUUCUCUUUGAAAUCACGGAGGAGCACAAAAUGAUCAGAAAGUUUCUUUUUCAACUCGUCUUCAUCAGCUGAACUUGUAUCUAGAGAACUAUCAAUGCCACCAGUCAUUUUAGAAGACCCUUUUUUCCUCUUGCUAUUUGAUUUUCUAAUGUCGUAUUUUGGGUUGAGCAACUCCCUUUCGAGGGACAAGUCUGUAAAAGCUUGCUGAGGAGAUAUUGAGGAAAGAUAAACUUGGUUAUGAGAAGUGCUCAUGCUUGAAAUGCUUGAAGCCAUCGUUGAAACAGCUGGAUGGUAAUGCUUGCAGAGAAGAUUGAGUUCCCAGAGGACUGAGGCAAGUGCCCCACUUAAAUUAGGAUCUGAGGCAUACGGCUGAUAUUUCGCAACAAAACCAGAAACUGAGCCACCCCCUGCAUCAUUUUCCAAUAGAUUCCGGCAUUUGACAUUCUUCUGGAGGAGAUACUUCAAAGUUACCAAAGCAGCCAUGGAUUCAGCUGAUCCAAAGCACAGUGAGAAUGUGGCCAAACGUUUUACAAAUGCAGCAGCCUUUUGCAUAUCAUGCUGUCUGUCUUCACAUAACAUAACCUUCAAAGCUUCUGCUAAUACUUCACCCUGAUCUCUUCCAGGCCUGUACUCAAGAAUAAGAUUAUACAGCAGCACAAAGAAGCCCUGUAAAUCAACAUUUAGGGCAUCUAGAUUGCUCUUCAUCACUUUAAAGGCAACAAUGCAGCAUUGAAGGCGUUCAGAAACAGUCAAGUACUUCGAACUUCUUUCUGAGGAACUGUUAGAGUUGGUAUCACCACCAGCAAGCUUUUUCAGAUAAUUCAUAAGAUCUCCAAUGUAAUCCAGAUCUAUUAGAUGAGAAAACUUUCCCAAUCCAUUCAGACAAGGAGCAAGCAGAGGGUGGGCCCCAGUUGCAUUGGCAACUAAAUUAUCAUUCGCUUCAGGACUGUCUGUGGUUGACAGCAUGGUAUGCUUCAAGAUGCGAAAAUAUGUCUCAAAGACAGCAGAAAGUGUCUCUGAUUGCAUCCUUUUCUGUUCCUUAACAUCUGUGGUAAAAGCAGCAGCCUUAUAAUCAGCAGCAACCUCCUCCCUCAUUUUUGUCAACAGUUCUUUCCUACUUUUUUUUCUAUCAUUUUCUUGUAAUUGACUUGGCUCCUCAUUAUUCUUUCUCUUCUUGCUUUUCUUGUUUCUAAAUUUAUUUUCCUUGUCCUCUUCUUCAGCCUUUCCAAGAUCUUCAUCAAAGGACAAUGACAACAAUACCUCAACAGAAUCCGGAUGCAAUUGACAAUCAUGAGCUUUAACAUGAUCAGCUAUUAACCGAACAGCCUCUACAGUAGCUUGACCACCGUGCUUUCCCUCGCUGGUAAAAAGUGACUUAAUAGUAGCACAACAAAGUUUCCUGUUAAAAAAUAGUGUGAACAUAAUUGAACCAAAGCCAUAGACAAAGCCAAAAGUAUUAAGAAGAAGCAUUAAUGACCUAGGUGGUUGAAGAAGCAUAAUUACAGUACAAUUAUCACAUGGGAAAUGAACAUACCAAUGAAAGAUUGACCUUUUAUAAAGGCAAGUAAACAUAACUUCAAUAUUAGCUGCACAAUUACUUUUUGGACUAAUACAAGAUAAGGGUAGAUAAUGUGUGGAUUUUUGUAACAACAGCCUAACCUUACUAGAAUAUAGUAAUUUGCUAAAGGAAUUGACAGACACAAUCAGUUAAAAUAACUAUAAUAACAGUAAUUAUGGUUUUCCUUUAAUAUUUCAACAGAAAUCUUCAUAUUGCUUCUUUAGGGGCCUCCACCUUGAAACCCCCUCCACCAAAUAUUUUAGAACAGCAAGUUCUGAAAAUGCACAGGAAAAGGAAGAUAACUAUAGCAAAACCUUAUGACGUCAUCUGAAGAACCUAUGUUUUCAACCACAGCACCUAACAAAUUUUCACAGAAGUUGAAGUGGGGAGCUGCUUCAAGCAAAGUACAAAUGCAGCGAACAGCCACAUGCUGGUACUUGGACCGUUUCUCUAAUACCAUCAGCUUCUGCAAGUACACCUUGUAUGCAGACAGAAGUGUUGAUUCAUGGUACCGCAACUUCUUAACAUCCUUGGAAACUUUCAUUUCUAGCUCCUUCUCAGUAGGAAGCCUAAUCCGGUAGCCUGGAAUAAUGUCUUUAAAAACAGCUAACAACGAUAACAAUGCAAGUUUGACAAUAGCAUGAUCAUCAUCUUUACAGAAUUGCAACAUCUCUUUCAGAGUUUUUAUAUUCGACUCUGGAUCUGCCAGCAAUGCGAUGCCCAGCUCUGCUAAUUUAAGCUUCUUGUUUUCAAACACUUCUUCAGCAGUGAGAUCUUCUUUCACCUUGGCCAGCACAGCGGCUUGUGGGGUUUCUUGCACUUCUUCUGUCUUCCCCAACUCCUUCCCUUGUUUCUUUGCCUCUUUCUUGCUUUUUUUCAGCUUUGCCCUCCUUUCUGCUUUCGUCAGUCUCACUAUACCCUUAUCAGCGCCGGAAUCAUCCUUCUCAUCAUCUGCGUCCCGACCAUUUUCAGAUUUUUCUGAUGUAUUGGACAAAGUCCGAUAGUAAAGUUUUCCAUCUAAAGUCUUUACAGGAAGAGCAUCAACAGGAUCAACUUGAAGCCGCACUUCCUCCUCCUGUUUCUGCUGUGACUUCCUCCCCAGCCGCUUCUCAUACGCUGCUUCUAAAUCAUCUCCUUCUAAAUCAGCAACGCGAGAAACAUGCCUGGUGAUGGUAUCGGUGUCCAAGCGAGAAACAAAGCCAGCAUAAUCUCUGUUCUCAUUGACGAAUUGCAAGUCCUCAUCAGAGACCUCAAUUUCAUCCUCAGAUAUCUCCGGCGGCAACGCCGGUGGCAACACUAUCUUUUGCUUCUGCUUCUUCUUCACCAUUUUCUCUUUUACCAACCAAAGAAAAGGAGACGUCCAAUGCAGAUACCAGGAGAAGCAACACAAUGACCAGAGCUGGGGCUUAGGGUUUUAGACUGCCACAUAAGUUAGUUUUAAGAGAUAAUGCGCUUCGGUUUUCCAAUAUGGGCCUAUUGGGCCUCACUCGGCAAGAGCCCAAUUCCUUUAUU
This 3354-nucleotide unclassified non-coding RNA is filed under the name Hevea brasiliensis (rubber tree). The record is from RNAcentral. Lineage: Eukaryota; Viridiplantae; Streptophyta; Magnoliopsida; Malpighiales; Euphorbiaceae.